GAAAAUAUUUUUAUUUGGAAAACUCGUUAGCCGACAACCCUACGCCACGAAUACACGUCCAUGCCUACGCGGAUUUUGUCACGUGAUUCGUUAAAGGUCACGUGAUAACAGCCAUUUUGUUUUGUCACGCUUUUCGAGCUUACGAAAAGUGCUGAGAUGGCUGACGUUGAAGAGAAUCCUCAUAUGAACGACAAUUCUGAGGAGUCAGAUAUUGAUGAUGGCAACGAGGAGAUGGAUACAGAACCCACUGAGGGUGGCGAUCACCCAGAAGAGGAAAGCACGACUGAGGGAGGAGGAGAGGAGGAACCACCUCUAGUGAAAGAUGAGAGAUAUUCUCAGCUUGUGAGUAUGAACGUCAAGAAAAGGGUUGCCAGAGAAUUCUGCAGACUUAUGGAUGAAGGCAAGAUUACCAUGGCAGACGUGGAUAAGAAAGUGGCAAAGAAGUUGUGUGCGCUGCGAGUUGAAGAUGGUAUACGCAUAGUGAAACGGUUUGGAAUGUUUAACUUGGAUCACAUGGCCAACAAAUCAGCCUUUCUGCUGAGUCAGAUUGUGAUGUUUAGACAACAGAAAGGUCAUUAUAAUCAUCCAGCAGCCUUCAGUGCAAAUGGGAUCCCAGGACCAGAUCCCGAGAAAAUGACAGAAUUACUGUUGCGAACUGGGUACUUGCUUGACAUCACGACCAGAGGGCGGCGGCGUUAUGGGGGUCCUCCGCCAGGCUGGGAAGGAGAUCAGCCGCUUACCGAGUGCAGUGUUUAUGUGACUGGAUUACCACAAGACAUGUAUGAAGAUAUUCUUGUCCCACUGUUCGAGAAGUUUGGUCGAAUCUGGCAGAUGUGUUUGAUGGCAGACCCCUUCACUAAUCUGAAUCCUGGUUUUUGCUACCUCACCUACUGCAAAGACGAGGAAGCACAAAGAGCUGUUGAAGAGCUUAAUGGUUAUGAAAUCAGAGAGGGUGAAGUUUUAAAGGCCAACAUCUCCAUUCCCCAUGUGACUCUGUUUGCGGGAAGCCUUCCAAAUGACAGGACAAAGGAAGAAAUUAAGGAAGUCUUUGGCAGCAAAACAGAAGGACUAAUGGGAGUGGAGCUUCUUCCCUAUGAGGUAAACUCAGAGGAAAAGAACAGCAUUCCAGUGGCAGGCUUGCUGACUUACUCCUCCUACAAGUUGUCCUCAGAAGCCAAGAGAAGAUUCAAGAGGGGGGACUGUCUGGCAUUUGACAGGAAAAUGCAUAUUGCUAAGGCUGACACACGGGGCAAGCCACCAAAGGGGUGCCUUGAGAAGGUUACAUUAAUACACAUCCAUCAGAUGCCACCGUCACAUACAGUCAGGACUCUGCAGGAGCAGUUUCAGAAGUUUGGGGAGAUAGAGUAUGUAGAGAAGAAUCAAGACCAUGGAUUUGUAAAGUUUGCUUCCCAUCAGAGCGCCAUCAAGGCUAUGGUGGAACACAAAGGAGUUUGGAGACAAGCGUGUACUCUAUUUAUGAAAAUGAAGAACAACAUUAUACAGGCUGGUCUUGACCAGGAGUAUGGAGCUGUCAUCAUUGACAUUUCAAUGGGUGAAAAGCAAGAUCAUAAAAAAAAACUUAUCAGAGGAAAUAACAGAAACAGAAGGCGUGGCAGAGCCCGGGGAAGAGGAUAUAUGCAUUGGGGAAGGGGAGGUAAUGGCUUACUACCAUUGCCCCCACAGUUCAUGAUGCGCCCUACCAUGUACAGAGGUGGACUUCCAAUGCCUCCUCCACCAGAAGAUCUAUGGGCCUAUGAAGAGUAUAUGUGCAGGGAUUUGCCUCCAUACAGAGGAAGAGAUUUCCACCCUUCACAUCCAUAUAUUUGAUGAAUUGUAACAGCACUUAGCUGUUUGAGUGGACGGGGAAAGGAACAGAAGCAUCUUGGGCCUUCUUACUCCAUGGAACCAAGGAGAAACCAUUGGGAUACAUGGCAUGGGUGGGACAGACCUCAGCAAGUCAACCAUGGUCAACAUGCAAACAAACGCAAGUCAGGAACCGCUUUUGCUAAUCGUGG
This 2015-nucleotide unclassified non-coding RNA is filed under the name Pomacea canaliculata. RNAcentral's name for it is "heterogeneous nuclear ribonucleoprotein Q-like, transcript variant X6". Lineage: Eukaryota; Metazoa; Mollusca; Gastropoda; Architaenioglossa; Ampullariidae. The record is from RNAcentral.